RNAcentral lists this ribosomal RNA (253 nucleotides) under uncultured bacterium. RNAcentral's name for it is "partial 16S ribosomal RNA". It matches the Rfam family "Bacterial small subunit ribosomal RNA", at positions 524 to 776 of the family's 1533-position model. The record is from RNAcentral.
UACGGGGGGGGCAAGCGUUGUUCGGAAUUACUGGGCGUAAAGGGCUCGUAGGUGGCCAACUAAGUCGGACGUGAAAUCCCUCGGCUUAACCGGGGAACUGCAUCCGAUACUGGAUGGCUUGAGUUCGGGAGAGGGAUGCGGAAUUCCAGGUGUAGCGGUGAAAUGCGUAGAUAUCUGGAGGAACACCGGUGGCGAAGGCGGCAUCCUGGACCGACACUGACGCUGAGGAGCGAAAGCCAGGGGAGCAAACGGG